This 281-nucleotide long non-coding RNA is filed under the name Musa acuminata (dwarf banana). RNAcentral describes it as "long non-coding RNA (MACU_LNC000637)". Lineage: Eukaryota; Viridiplantae; Streptophyta; Magnoliopsida; Zingiberales; Musaceae. The record is from RNAcentral.
CUGGGGACUACGGCGUAGUGGCCUAGUACGUCCGUAGUCGAUGAGUCGAGUGAAUUAUUACAGAGAUAAUAAUUCACUCAGUUAGAAGGAGUUCUGACAGGUAUGACUCACGGCCAGCUCGAUAUUGGGCCUAGAGGGUCACACACAUAUGGUAGGCAUUGCGAUGAGUAGAGGUUCGGAUAUGAGAUAUCCGACGGAGCCCUUGUCUUAUUGGAUGUAGAUCCAAUACCCACUAGGGAAGGACCCAUUAGGGUUUGACACGGGAUCUCUAUAAAUAGGAG